UACAGAGGGUGCAAGCGUUAAUCGGAAUUACUGGGCGUAAAGCGUGCGUAGUCGGUCAUUUAAGUCGGGUGUGAAAUCCCCGGGCUCAACCUGGGAAUUGCAUUCGAUACUGGAUGGCUAGAGUUCGGCAGAGGGAAGCGGAAUUCCGGUGUAGCGGUGAAAUGCGUAGAUAUCGGAAGAACAUCAGUGGCGAAGGCGGCUCACUGGCCCGGUACUGACGCUGAGGUGCGAAAGCGUGGGAGCAACAGGG
RNAcentral lists this ribosomal RNA (250 nucleotides) under uncultured bacterium. Its description in RNAcentral is "partial 16S ribosomal RNA". It matches the Rfam family "Bacterial small subunit ribosomal RNA", at positions 524 to 776 of the family's 1533-position model. The record is from RNAcentral.